AUACGGAGGAUCCGAGCGUUAUCCGGAUUUAUUGGGUUUAAAGGGUGCGCAGGCGGCCAUUUAAGUCAGCGGUUAAAUCGUGGGGCUCAACCCCAUUCUGCCGUUGAUACUGGGUGGCUUGAUUGCGGUCGAGGUUGGCGGAAUUCGUUGUGUAGCGGGGAAAUGCAUAGAUAUGACGAAGAACACCGAUUGCGUAGGCAGCUGACCAGACCGCAAAUGACGCUCAUGCACGAAAGUGCGGGGAUCGAACAGGAUUAGAUACCCUGGUAGUCCGCACAGUAAACGAUGAAUACUUGUUUUCGGCGAUAUAAUGUCGGAGGCAAAGCGAAAGCGGUAAGUAUUCCACCUGGGGAGUACGCCGGCAACGGUGAAACUCAAAUGAAUUGACGGGG
RNAcentral lists this ribosomal RNA (392 nucleotides) under uncultured bacterium. Its description in RNAcentral is "partial 16S ribosomal RNA". It matches the Rfam family "Bacterial small subunit ribosomal RNA", at positions 523 to 918 of the family's 1533-position model. The record is from RNAcentral.